Long non-coding RNA from Pectinophora gossypiella (pink bollworm), 1127 nucleotides. RefSeq lists it as uncharacterized. Lineage: Eukaryota; Metazoa; Arthropoda; Insecta; Lepidoptera; Gelechiidae. The record is from RefSeq and is a predicted model, not a curated record. The transcript is spliced from 7 exons.
CUUCUCAUAUAAGUAGGUGGAUGCGGCCUCGAUUAGCGGGGGAACCACAUGAAAAAAAGCGAGCUACUGGGUGUACCUCCUGGGUAGUUUGGAAAUCACCUAAGAUAUAUAUGUAUAUAUUUAUAAAUAAAAGUUAAUAUAUAUAAAUUAACAUUAAUUUUUUUUAACAGGAAAUGCACAAUGCUAAAAACUGCGUAGGAGAUUUUAAUACAAUAGUACUACCAAGCCUGAUGUUGGCCGCUAUUUCAAUGAAUGCAGCAGUGUCACAGCUAGCAAUCAAAAGUAACAAGAUAUUGAGGAAAUGCAGAUGGCAAUAAACUGUGUAGGAGUUCAUGAUUGCAAUAGAAUAAAAUCGACCAAGCCUGAAGUCAGCAGCCCCUUCAAUGAAUGCAGCAGUGUGACAGCCAGCAAUCAAAAGUAACAAGAUGUCGAGGAAAUGCAGAAGGCAAAAAACUGCGUAGGAGAUCAUUAAUACAAAAGUAUUAUAUAAACCAAACCUGAUGUUGCCAGCUCCUUCAAUGAAUGCAGCAGUGUGACAGCCAGCAAUCAAAAGUAACAAGAUGUCGAGGAAAUGCAGAAGGCAAAAAACUGCGUAGGAGAUCAUUAAUACAAUAGUAUUAUAUAAACCAAGCCUGAUGUUGGCCGCUCAUUCAAAGAAUGCAGCAGUGUGACAGCCAGCAAUCAAAAGUAACAAGAUGUCGAGGAAAUGCAGAGUGCAAUAAACUUUGUAGGAGAUUAUGAUUGCAAUAGAAUAAAAUCGACCAAGCCUGAAGUUCUUCAAUGCACGCAGCAGUGUGACAGCCAGCAAUCAAAAGUUACAAGAUAUCGAGGAAAUGCAGAAGGCAAAAAACUGCGUAGGAGAUUAUUAAUACAAUAGUAUUAUAUCAACCAAGCCUGAUGUCGGUAGCUUCUUCAAUGAAUGCAGCAGUGUGACAGCCAGCAAUCAAUAGUGAUAGUGACAAGAAUCUAGGAAAUACAGAAGACAAAGAAGCAGAUGUCAUCAAAGAAGAUCUUUGUUCCUGCAAUGUUUCCGCAGACGAUACAUCCAACAGAGCGAAGUGGAAGGAAAAGACUCGGAAAAAAGACCCCACCACCAUAUGGGAACAAUGCAAGGGAGAGAGAGAGAA